CUCCUCUUCUCAACACUCUCCUUCUCUUUUUCCACUCUCGGUCUCUUUCUCUCCAUCUGUGUCAGAGGAGGCUGCUACGACUCAAUCAGGCUCACAAAAACGCAGAGGAGCUCCCACUCUUUGUCUGCCUCACUCAGAAAUCUCUGGGUGGAUGCCAACUCUCCUACAGCAGUGAAACACCUGCUCCAGCAACAAGACGUGAUAUGAGCCCCUAGCUGGAACUGUAGAGGCAGCCUUUCACAGGCAUUUGGAUGAAAUGUGAACCGGCAAGCUGGAGGACAGAACCCCAGAAAACCGAGAGAGAAGUGGACAUGAGAGUAAUGCAGAUAAUGCUGGCUCAAUUUGAGUUUAGUGCUUUAUCUUUUUCAAUGCAAGUCACAAAAUGCAUCUGCCAUUCCCUCUACAUAAGUCAUACGAGACAUACAGAGCUUUUCACAAUGUGUGGGACUUUGCUUAUCUCUAUUUUUUUGUGUGUUUUUCUGAGUGGAUGGAGAGUUUUAUCCAGUAAAAAGGUCAGGCGGAAGCAAGAACUCUACAUCAACACCAGAUGGACAGAACAUGUCAUUGUUGAGUCCAUGAAUUCAACUAGAAAAAACUGUCAAGGGGUUUAAACUCUAGAACUGGGUUCAGCACAUUAACCCUCGUGUUGUCCCAAGGGUCAAAUUGACCCGUUUUAAAGUUUGAAAAUGUGGAGGAAAAAUAUAUAUUGAUGUCCACAUUUUCAGCAUUUUGGGGAAUUUUUUGAACAUUUUUUUGGUGGAAAGAAAGAAAUGUUAAAAAAAUGUUUCUUAAGAACAUUCACUUUUUGUGAAUGUUCUUAAAGAAAACAUUAGAAGUUUUACUGAUAUAUAUGUAGUCACUUUAUAUAUUUUUUGAAAAUAUUUCCAAGAAUUUUCUUGUCAAAUUUGGGGGAUUUUUUAAAAUAAAACUUUUAAGGGAAACUUUUAAGGAGUUAUUGGAAUUUUCUUCCUGAAGGUUUUGCAAAUAUUCAGAAAUUUGGAGAUUUUUUUUUUUUUUUUGUUGAAUUUUUAAAUUUUUUCAGACAAGGAAACAAUUUUUUUGGUGCCCGUAAAUGAAGACAACAGGAGGGUUAAAUAAACACCGACUCAUGCACCAACUCUAUCAUCUAACUUCAUGGGUACAUUUUUUUGGAUAAAGUAAUUAAUUAAGACAUCCUCUGCAUGUGCACAAAGCCAAAUUUGAAUGCACUGUUGAUAUUUUUUAAGGUUAAAUGCAGAUAUUUUCAGUAAUUACUCCUAUAAUAUUGCAGCAUGGAUGCACAUAAAGCAGCAGGCAGGUCAGUAAUGCACAUUAGUUAUAUCAAUUCUCAGCCUCUCCUACUUUGUCUCCUAAUUUACCAUCUUGUCCCUACACCUUUUCUCCUGUAUCACCAAAGAAAACAACCUUCCAUUUCCACGUGUUGCUCUCUAAUGAAAGCUCUAUGUUCACUUAAAUCCUGCUGCACACACAGCUGUCAAUGAAAGAGAAGGAAAUGCAUUAAGAGAGACAGGACAGUGUGUGAAGAGCGGCACAAUGGGAAGGAUUGAUUCAUCCGACCUUCAUAGAUUUAGUGCAAGUCAAGAGCAAGCAGCAUGUGUACCUUCAACGCCUAAAGACCGCAGCGUACGAGUUCUAAAUUAACACUCAACAAGACAACCAAUAAAGAAACUUUUACAUUAGUGUGUGUCAAACUUUGCUGUGUGAACAAGUGCCCCGGCUGAAAUAGUUUCAUGUCUCCGUCUGAUAAGUCUUUUCACUCCACUAAGCUUGUUAAAAUAUGUGUGCACCUUUAGAAUGAUUACACAGCUUCAGAAUCCCUCACAGGUAUUUGCUGGUCCUUCACCCUAGCCGUCACUGUUGUUUUAACUCUUUGAAUUUUUGACGUUGCUAUUUCUGCUUUCCCAGUGUUGCAGUUACCUUCUAAUCUUUGUGUACCCUCAGUGCAGAGUGAAUUUGCAAACAAUGCCAAGCAGCAGUAACAGCUGCUUUGUAAUAGACGCUGUUUUGGGCUCUUUUUAUGGGCAUUUUGUUUGAGCAGGUGAAACUUUUUAUUAGUAUAUGACUGUGUGGGAACCUCUCUUGCUUUUCUUCGAGAGUUCUGAAUUUGGGUUUAUAUUAGAGACCUGGACCAGGAUAGUCGUGCCCGGAGAUGACACAGAACUAGAUCUACCAAGACUCGACUUAAACAUUCAGUAUUUAUUUACUUUAGUUUACUGAACUCAGCAGAUGAAGCGUGCGAUAUAAAACAUGCAGUCUGUUGCGUGUUUCAGUUCAUGUCUGAUGCCAGGCCUUAUUAGCCCCCCCCUCUAUGACAUCACCCUGUCUGGAGUGAGGUACGUAAUGGACCUUCAGAUGUCUUUAGACAUUACAACAUACCCCUUAUCUCCCCUCCAGUAAAACCCUUUAAAAAAAACAGUAUCCAUGCAUAUUCAUUUAAACAGUAUGAGCUGAAUCACAUGAAUGGCAUGUUUGUAAACAGAGCUCUAUGUGCAUAUCUCUCAGUUCACUGCACAAGCUGGUUUUCAGACUUUCCGUCCUCACUCAAUACUGCAAAUGCAUAAUUCCAAGUGAUACUGUAGCAACACAUUUUCUUUAUUUAUAGCUAAUAUUGCUUUAGUGCUGUAGCCUGUGCAUGUGUUGCUAUUUAUUGCUUGUAAUAUUAGUGAAAAGUUCAAUGCUCUUCUCUGGAUAGGGCAUAAAUGUCAACAUGCUUAAUUCAAGCAAUGAAUAGACUGUUAAGACUUUAACCUUUAUGGAUGAGUGGAUGGAAAUAGAUGCCAAAAUCGAAAACUGGCAGACCAGUUUGCCACCACUUGUGCAGGAGCUGCUUGAUGUUGGUUGGCCACUCUUUGCUGCUAAUCAGAUUGUCACAUCAGUACCAUCAAUAUAUGAUACGUCAUUUUGAUGCCAGUGCCUUAAAGGUUCAAUAUUGUGCCCCUUAACAGCAUAUUAAUCAAAGUGUCACAGUUUGUUUGACAAUUUGUCUUUAAAAUUUUCAGCUCAAAAUACUGCAAAGAUGGUUAAUUUCAUUAGGACUGUAAAACCCCUGAUUUAAGGCUGUUCUAAAUGGUUUGUUUUGAUCUAAUAACCAAGAAGAUGCUGCUGUUCCCGCCCCUUUCAGGAAGAACACUGCAUGUCUGUGAUUGACAGUCAGAGCUAGACAGCUAUUUGCUAGUUUGGCGUUACAUAGCACCUGGGUUACUUGUAAAGCUGUGAGGCUAGUAUUUGUAGGGUAGCCUGAGGAAUGGCAGAAGUAGAAGUUUUCAUGUCUUACAGCUUUUCUUUUGCACCCCUAAGUUUACAACAAAAAACAACAGAAAUGGAUU
Amphiprion ocellaris (clown anemonefish) is the source of this 3326-nucleotide long non-coding RNA. RefSeq lists it as uncharacterized. Lineage: Eukaryota; Metazoa; Chordata; Actinopteri; Pomacentridae. The record is from RefSeq and is a predicted model, not a curated record. The transcript has 3 exons.